This 88-nucleotide non-coding RNA is filed under the name uncultured Cytobacillus sp. Its description in RNAcentral is "Purine riboswitch". The stretch from base 15 to 86 matches the Rfam family "Purine riboswitch aptamer", at positions 18 to 89 of the family's 102-position model. From Rfam's summary of the family: Riboswitches are metabolite binding domains within certain messenger RNAs that serve as precision sensors for their corresponding targets. Allosteric rearrangement of mRNA structure is mediated by ligand binding, and this results in modulation of gene expression. The record is from RNAcentral. Lineage: Bacteria; Bacillati; Bacillota; Bacilli; Caryophanales; Bacillaceae.
AACUUAAUAGUUGUCAUUCAUAUAAUAGCGGAAAUAGGGUCCGCGAGUUUCUACCGAAUAACCGUAAAUUAUUUGACUAUGGGUGAGC